AGCAGGCGCGAAACCUUUACACUGCACGCCAGUGCGAUAAGGGGACUCCAAGUGCGAGGGCAUAUCGUCCUCGCUAUCCUGUACUGUAGGGUAGUACAGUAUCAAGAGCUGGGCAAGACCGGUGCCAGCCGCCGCGGUAAUACCGGCAGCUCGAGUGAUGGCCAAUCUUAUUGGGCCUAAAGCGUCCGUAGCUGGCCGCGCAAGUCCGUCGGGAAAUCCAUCAGCCCAACUGAUGGGCGUCCGGCGGAAACUGCACGGCUUGGGACCGGAAGGCUCGAGAGGUACGUCCGGGGUAGGAGUGAAAUCCCGUAAUCCCGAACGGACCACCGAUGGCGAAAGCAUCUCGAGAAAACGGAUCCGACAGUGAGGGACGAAAGCUAGGGUCUCGAACCGGAUUAGAUACCCGGGUAGUCCUAGCCGUAAACGAUGUUCGCUAGGUGUGGCACUGGCUACGAGCCAGUGCUGCGCCGUAGGGAAGCCGAGAAGCGA
Molecule: ribosomal RNA, 489 nt
Filed under: uncultured haloarchaeon
Lineage: Archaea; Methanobacteriati; Methanobacteriota; Halobacteria; Halobacteriales; Halobacteriaceae
Description: bacterial SSU rRNA
Rfam family: Archaeal small subunit ribosomal RNA
Source: RNAcentral